This 430-nucleotide ribosomal RNA is filed under the name Pseudomonadota bacterium. Its description in RNAcentral is "Proteobacteria bacterium partial 16S ribosomal RNA". It matches the Rfam family "Bacterial small subunit ribosomal RNA", at positions 355 to 776 of the family's 1533-position model. Lineage: Bacteria; Pseudomonadati; Pseudomonadota. The record is from RNAcentral.
UGGGGAAUAUUGGACAAUGGGCGAAAGCCUGAUCCAGCCAUGCCGCGUGUGUGAAGAAGGCCUUAUGGUUGUAAAGCACUUUAAGCGAGGAGGAGGGUACUGGUAUUAAUACUACCAGGUACUGGACGUUACUCGCAGAAUAAGCACCGGCUAACUCUGUGCCAGCAGCCGCGGUAAUACAGAGGGUGCGAGCGUUAAUCGGAUUUACUGGGCGUAAAGCGUGCGUAGGCGGCUAAUUGAGUCGGAUGUGAAAUCCCCGAGCUUAACUUGGGAAUUGCAUUCGAUACUGGUUAGCUAGAGUGUGGGAGAGGAUGGUAGAAUUCCAGGUGUAGCGGUGAAAUGCGUAGAGAGCUGGAGGAAUACCGAUGGCAAAGUCAGCCAUCUGGCCUAACACUGACGCUGAGGUACGAAAGCAUGGGGAGCAAACAGG